GACGAACGCUGGCGGCGUGCUUAACACAUGCAAGUCGAACGGAAAGGCCCUGCUUGCAGGGUGCUCGAGUGGCGAACGGGUGAGUAACACGUGGGUGAUCUGCCCCUUACUUUGGGAUAAGCCUGGGAAACUGGGUCUAAUACUGGAUAGGACCAUGCUGUAGGUGGUGUGGUGGAAAGAUUAGUUUCGGUAAGGGAUGAGCUCGCGGCCUAUCAGCUUGUUGGUGGGGUAAUGGCCUACCAAGGCGUCGACGGGUAGCCGGCCUGAGAGGGUGGACGGCCACAUUGGGACUGAGAUACGGCCCAGACUCCUACGGGAGGCAGCAGUGGGGAAUAUUGCAAAAUGGGCGCAAGCCUGAUGCAGCGACGCCGCGUGGGGGAUGACGGCCUUCGGGUUGUAAACUCCUUUCAGCCAUGACGAAGCCCUUGUGGUGACGGUAGUGGUAGAAGAAGCACCGGCUAACUACGUG
Molecule: ribosomal RNA, 469 nt
Filed under: uncultured bacterium
Lineage: Bacteria
Description: partial 16S ribosomal RNA
Rfam family: Bacterial small subunit ribosomal RNA
Source: RNAcentral